UAGGGAAUAUUGCAAAAUGGGCGAAAGCCCGAUGCAGCAACGCCGCAUGGGCGAUGAAGGCCUUCGGGUCGUAAAGCCCUUUUUGAGGGGAUGAGGAAGGACAGUACCCUCAGAAUAAGCCUCGGCUAACUACGUGCAAGCAGCCGCGGUAAAACGUAGGAGGCGAGCGUUAUCCGGAUUUACUGGGCGUAAAGCGCGUGCAGGCGGAUUGGAGAGUUGGAUGUGAAAGCUCCCGGCUUAACUGGGAGAGGUCGUUCAAUACUUCCAGUCUUGAGUGCAGUAGAGGGAAGUGGAAUUCCGGGUGUAGUGGUGAAAUGCGUAGAUAUCCGGAGGAACACCAGUGGCGAAAGCGGCUUCCUGGACUGUAACUGACGCUCAGACGCGAAAGCUAGGGUAGCAAACG
Molecule: ribosomal RNA, 403 nt
Filed under: uncultured bacterium
Lineage: Bacteria
Description: bacterial SSU rRNA
Rfam family: Bacterial small subunit ribosomal RNA
Source: RNAcentral